This 774-nucleotide long non-coding RNA is filed under the name Pan paniscus (pygmy chimpanzee). Its description in RNAcentral is "lncRNA (ENSPPAG00000044280.1)". Lineage: Eukaryota; Metazoa; Chordata; Mammalia; Primates; Hominidae. The record is from RNAcentral.
AUUUGAGACAAGACAAGACAAGGUUCAGUUUUGAGGCUAAAUGACCUCAAACUUUCAGAACAUCAUAUCAGACCAUUUUUGGCUCAUUUAGCCUCUCUCCUCACUCUACGAACCUGGACAAAGCCUUCUGAUCUCCUGCCAGCAACCACUUCUGUGUUGAUUAAUACUUCCGUCUCGCUCUGUGCCAUGCCAAACAGAGCUGGGUUUGCUGCCCGUCCAGAAGAGCAAGAGCUAUGCAGCUGGACAGAUCUGUCGGCCCAGGGCAGGCACUAGACACAAGUGAACAACACGAGGAUGAAAUGAAGCUCCACCAAAACGAGCCCUGGCAGUCAGAGGCAAUGGGGGGAUGGAACUCCCUCUUAAUGGGCAACCAAGAGUAGCACCUGGAUUGGCGAGAAAUGCAAACUGCCUGGAAGCAGAGCAGGGCAGGCUCCACCCACGGUGUAUGACAGAUGCGGAUUUCCCAGGUGAAAUGUAAACCGCCCCAGGAACUCUUACCGGCACCAUCUCAGUGAUCAGUUAACACCUGAGCAUGUAUUGUCACCACAGAGUUCCUUGCCUGAAAGUAUAUAAAUUUUGCUUAAGAAAAGAGCACUAGGCCAGGUGCAGUGGCUUAGUCCUGUAAUCCCAGCACUUUGGGAGGCUGAGGCAGGCGGAUCACUUGAGGUCAGUAGUUCAAGGCCAGCCUGGCCAACAUGGUGAAACCCCGUCUCCACUAAAAAUACAAAAAUGAGCUGGGUGUGGUGGUGUGCACCUGUAGUUCCAGCUUCUGGG